This 403-nucleotide small RNA is filed under the name Malus domestica (apple). Its description in RNAcentral is "sRNA MD06G0010900". The record is from RNAcentral. Lineage: Eukaryota; Viridiplantae; Streptophyta; Magnoliopsida; Rosales; Rosaceae.
GAAGAGGAGCCUCUCAAAGCAGCUCCUUGAUAUCCAUGUCCUUCUUCUUCUUCUGUUGUGUUCUUCUGCCUCUCCCUCUCUCUAAAAAUUAAAUGCCCUGUGUAUACACCCCCUACAUACAUUCUUUCCUCCUCCUCCUCCUAUCCCCAGUUCUCUCCCUCUCUCUCUCUCUCUAGAAUAAUAGCUCCAGUUGAUUGCAGCAAUGGCAGGUGCUGAGCUGGAAGAGGAAGUGAUAUGUUUUUGAAGAUUGAUUCACACUUGCAAAUUAAAAGGUUUUAUUGCUUGAGGACAAUACCCCAAUAGCAAAAAGAUCAAAAGGGGCAAAAAUAAACAAGGAUGAGGCGAAGAUUUGCUUGUUGCACCCGCGACCGGGAGAUUAGCAUCGACUUUGACGACCAAGAGA